RNAcentral lists this ribosomal RNA (374 nucleotides) under uncultured prokaryote. Its description in RNAcentral is "bacterial SSU rRNA". It matches the Rfam family "Bacterial small subunit ribosomal RNA", at positions 524 to 896 of the family's 1533-position model. The record is from RNAcentral.
AACGUAGGAGGCAAGCGUUAUCCGGAUUUAUUGGGCGUAAAGCGCAUGCAGGUGGUUUCGUAAGUCGGAUGUGAAAGCCUCUGGCUUAACUGGAGGAGGUCGUUCGAUACUGCGAAACUGGAGGUCGGAAGAGGGAGGCGGAAUUCCCGGUGUAGUGGUGGAAUGCGUAGAUAUCGGGAGGAACACCAGUGGCGAAGGCGGCUUCCUGGUCCGUACCUGACGCUAAGAUGCGAAAGCGUGGGGAGCGAACGGGAUUAGAUACCCCGGUAGUCCACGCUGUAAACGAUGGGUACUGGGUAUUGGUGGUAUUGACCCCAUCAGUGCCGAAGCUAACGCGUUAAGUACCCCGCCUGGGGACUACGGCCGCAAGGUUA